CAGUAGCCGCGGUAAUACGUAGGUGGCAAGCGUUAUCCGGAAUUAUUGGGCGUAAAGCGCGCGUAGGCGGUUUUUUAAGUCUGAUGUGAAAGCCCACGGCUCAACCGUGGAGGGUCAUUGGAAACUGGAAAACUUGAGUGCAGAGGAGGAAAGUGGAAUUCCAUGUGUAGCGGUGAAAUGCGCAGAGAUAUGGAGGAACACCAGUGGCGAAGGCGACUUUCUGGUCUGUAACUGACGCUGAUGUGCGAAAGCGUGGGGAUCAAACAGGAUUAGAUACCCCAGUAGUCCCUGUCUCUUAUAC
This 301-nucleotide ribosomal RNA is filed under the name uncultured bacterium. RNAcentral describes it as "partial 16S ribosomal RNA". It matches the Rfam family "Bacterial small subunit ribosomal RNA", at positions 509 to 807 of the family's 1533-position model. The record is from RNAcentral.